Cryptomeria japonica (Japanese cedar) is the source of this 373-nucleotide long non-coding RNA. RefSeq lists it as uncharacterized. Lineage: Eukaryota; Viridiplantae; Streptophyta; Pinopsida; Cupressales; Cupressaceae. The record is from RefSeq and is a predicted model, not a curated record. The transcript is spliced from 2 exons.
CAGUAGAAUUUUAAUGGAGGUUGAAGGCUAUGGAAAUGUUUUCUCCACAUCAAUUUUCUCAUGAUCUAAUUAAAAACAUUAGGAUUUUUGGAAGGAAGAUGAAUCACGUUUUGAACCACUCAAGGAGCCUAUUGAAGGCAAUCUGAAUACACUAAAAGAGCUUGAUGAAAUUGGCAAGCUAUUUGAAGAGGGGUUUAAACUUUGAAAUUCAUGUACCUUCAAAUGAUCCAUUUAAUUCUACCAUUCAAAUGGUGGAUUGUGCAUAUAUAGAUGUUGCACUUGAAAAUUCAUCUUGACAGGCACUGAGAAGAUUGAUAUUGCUUUUUUCACUAGAUUUUUGAAAAAUAAAAUUGUUUGCACUUUUUAGUCUUUA